AAACAAAAACAAACUUCCCAGGCGAUAUGCAUGCCCAACAAAGAAGACGUGACCGAAGAUUGAUUUCAAUAUUGUCUUCAUUAUCAUGGCUACCAGAAGAUGUUUUUUAUUCAAACAUCCAUCCGAACAACCGAACAUGGCUUGUCGGCGAAAUACCGUCAGGAAGAAGAAACAUUUUGCCGUGAAAGAAGAAGCAAUGAGUGGAUGCCUAGCUCUUGGGAACUCUUCAUGAUUUAAGAUUGAUUUGUUUAUAGAAUUCACAAAAAAGUAGUUUAAUCUUUGCAUACUUUGAUGAAAGCAUCGUAGUUAGAUUAUUAAUUUUAGUGUAAAACUGAGGCUGUUAGCAUUUAAUAUGCCGUCAAUGGGGAAAUGUGUUAAAUCUCAACCCUUAUAAUACUGAUAAAUAUGUAAAUGCGGAUAAGCAGAAUUGUCUUUGACUGUUAUUUGGUAGAUAAGAAAAGUUUUAAAAAAUGUAAAGAAUCGAAUGUGCUAUUGAAAUGUGUAUGUAAUACGAAUUAAUUGGACCUACCCAGGAAAAUUAUAUGAAUAAUGGAAGGCCCAAUUACCACCCCUUCUAAUUUUUGCUACCUGAUUUCAUUCCAUUAAUUUUACCAAAGACAUGAUAAAAAUUGUGAUUAUGCUUGUGAUUGUAAUUGCAAUAAAACUAAUAAGUAAUAAUAAAGUAACGUGAACUCAUUACUUUAAUUGUCCCGUAUAGUUGCACAAUUUUCAUAGGCAGAUCUAAGGGGCGAGGAGACCCGAGCCACCCCCCCCCCCCCCCCCCCCGAAGAUACCAAAGUACACAUCCCUUUUCAUGAUUUAACAAACAUGAAGAAAGUGUCUCCUUUUUAGGUCUGAAAUCACAAAUUUUUCGCGGUCACAUCAAUUGUUUUAGUUAUUUACCUAAUUUACCGUUUAUUUCGAAAAGUGCUUAGAAUGUCAAUUUUUUAGGUCAGAAUGUCAAAAAAUUUUAAAUAAAAGUUGAAAUAUGUAUCGUCUUAUGACUAACUGCAAA
Lytechinus pictus (painted urchin) is the source of this 1015-nucleotide long non-coding RNA. RefSeq lists it as uncharacterized. NCBI's taxonomy places the organism in Eukaryota, Metazoa, Echinodermata, Echinoidea, Temnopleuroida, Toxopneustidae. The record is from RefSeq and is a predicted model, not a curated record. The transcript has 2 exons.